Molecule: ribosomal RNA, 468 nt
Filed under: uncultured bacterium
Lineage: Bacteria
Description: partial 16S ribosomal RNA
Rfam family: Bacterial small subunit ribosomal RNA
Source: RNAcentral
GACGAACGCUGGCGGCGUGCUUAACACAUGCAAGUCGAACGGAAAGGCCCUGCUUUUGUGGGGUGCUCGAGUGGCGAACGGGUGAGUAAUACGUGAGUAACCUGCCCUUGACUUUGGGAUAACUUCCGGAAACUGGGGCUAAUACCGGAUAGGAGCUCCUGCUGCAUGGUGGGGGUUGGAAAGUUUCGGCGGUUGGGGAUGGACUCGCGGCUUAUCAGCUUGUUGGUGGGGUAGUGGCUUACCAAGGCUUUGACGGGUAGCCGGCCUGAGAGGGUGACCGGCCACAUUGGGACUGAGAUACGGCCCAGACUCCUACGGGAGGCAGCAGUGGGGAAUAUUGCACAAUGGGCGGAAGCCUGAUGCAGCAACGCCGCGUGCGGGAUGACGGCCUUCGGGUUGUAAACCGCUUUCGCCUGUGACGAAGCGUGAGUGACGGUAAUGGGUAAAGAAGCACCGGCUAACUACGUG